This 211-nucleotide unclassified non-coding RNA is filed under the name plant metagenome. RNAcentral's name for it is "partial contains small subunit ribosomal RNA, internal transcribed spacer 1, and 5.8S ribosomal RNA". The record is from RNAcentral.
CUUCCGUAGGUGAACCUGCGGAAGGAUCAUUCAUAAUAAGUGUUUUAUGGCACUUUUUUAAAUCCAUAUCCACCUUGUGCAAUGUCAGGGUUGAUUUUUCUCUCGAGAGGAUCAGCCCCAAACAUCAACUAUAUCUCAACUCUUUGUCUGAAAAAUAUUAUGAAUAAAACAAUUCAAAAUACAACUUUCAACAACGGAUCUCUUGGCUCUC